Molecule: unclassified non-coding RNA, 343 nt
Filed under: Athalia rosae (coleseed sawfly)
Lineage: Eukaryota; Metazoa; Arthropoda; Insecta; Hymenoptera; Athaliidae
Description: misc RNA ENSAEAG00005010262.1
Source: RNAcentral
GAGGUGCGGAAGACGCGGUGGGGGUAUGCUUACGUACUUUUCCUCAUAUACAAUAGCUUUGCCACCCCACUAGUAGAUGGCGCUGACAAAAAUUGCCCGAUUUUACGCACACACAGAGCAGUCUCGCGUACAUGAGAUUACCACAUGCAAAGGCUCACGGACGGCCCGAGUUUUCCCGCCCCACUACUUGAUGCGUUGCAGUCGAUCCCUUACACGCAUACGAUCAAAUUUGGAAAAAAAUAAAAUAAAAAAUUGUAGCACGUGGACCUUACAGCAGGCUAUUAUAAUAUCACUAUACAAAUUUUAUAUUCAUUUGUUUGAUAAUUUCAGUCCUCUCUAGUAC